This 506-nucleotide ribosomal RNA is filed under the name uncultured bacterium. RNAcentral's name for it is "partial 16S ribosomal RNA". It matches the Rfam family "Bacterial small subunit ribosomal RNA", at positions 29 to 523 of the family's 1533-position model. The record is from RNAcentral.
AGUGAACGCUGGCGGUAGGCCUAACACAUGCAAGUCGAACGGCAGCACAGGAGAGCUUGCUCUCUGGGUGGCGAGUGGCGGACGGGUGAGGAAUACAUCGGAAUCUACUCUGUCGUGGGGGAUAACGUAGGGAAACUUACGCUAAUACCGCAUACGACCUACGGGUGAAAGCAGGGGACCUUCGGGCCUUGCGCGAUUAAAUGAGCCACUGUCGGAUUAGCUAGUUGGCGGGAUAAAGGCCCACCAAGGCGACGAUCCGUAGCUGGUCUGAGAGGAUGAUCAGCCACACUGGAAAUGAGACACGGUCCAGACUCCUACGGGAGGCAGCAGUGGGGAAUAUUGGACAAUGGGCGCAAGCCUGAUCCAGCCAUACCGCGUGGGUGAAGAAGGCCUUCGGGUUGUAAAGCCCUUUUGUUGGGAAAGAAAUCCAGCUGGCUAAUACCCGGUUGGGAUGACGGUACCCAAAGAAUAAGCACCGGCUAACUUCGUGCCAGCAGCCGCAGUAA